This 253-nucleotide ribosomal RNA is filed under the name uncultured bacterium. RNAcentral's name for it is "partial 16S ribosomal RNA". It matches the Rfam family "Bacterial small subunit ribosomal RNA", at positions 524 to 776 of the family's 1533-position model. The record is from RNAcentral.
UACGUAGGGUGCGAGCGUUGUCCGGAAUUAUUGGGCGUAAAGAGCUUGUAGGCGGUCUGUCGCGUCUGCUGUGAAAAUCCGGGGCUCAACCCCGGACUUGCAGUGGGUACGGGCAGACUAGAGUGUGGUAGGGGAGACUGGAAUUCCUGGUGUAGCGGUGAAAUGCGCAGAUAUCGAGAGGAACACCUGCGGCGAAGGCGGGUUGCUGGGCUGACACUGGCGCUGAGGCGCGAAAGCUAGGGGAGCGAACGGG